RNAcentral lists this transfer RNA (63 nucleotides) under Staphylococcus epidermidis. It matches the Rfam family "tRNA", at positions 5 to 66 of the family's 71-position model. From Rfam's summary of the family: Transfer RNA (tRNA) molecules are approximately 80 nucleotides in length. Their secondary structure includes four short double-helical elements and three loops (D, anti-codon, and T loops). Further hydrogen bonds mediate the characteristic L-shaped molecular structure. tRNAs have two regions of fundamental functional importance: the anti-codon, which is responsible for specific mRNA codon recognition, and the 3' end, to which the tRNAs corresponding amino acid is attached (by aminoacyl-tRNA synthetases). tRNAs cope with the degeneracy of the genetic code in two manners: having more than one tRNA (with a specific anti-codon) for a particular amino acid; and 'wobble' base-pairing, i.e. permitting non-standard base-pairing at the 3rd anti-codon position. The record is from RNAcentral. RNAcentral also lists the same sequence under 13 other names. Lineage: Bacteria; Bacillati; Bacillota; Bacilli; Caryophanales; Staphylococcaceae.
CAGUAGCUCAGUGGUAGAGCUAUCGGCUGUUAACCGAUCGGUCGUAGGUUCGAAUCCUACCUG